This 563-nucleotide ribosomal RNA is filed under the name Labeobarbus sp. Lucien. RNAcentral describes it as "partial 16S ribosomal RNA". It matches the Rfam family "Bacterial large subunit ribosomal RNA", at positions 1844 to 2603 of the family's 2925-position model. Lineage: Eukaryota; Metazoa; Chordata; Actinopteri; Cypriniformes; Cyprinidae. The record is from RNAcentral.
UAUAGGAGGUCCAGCCUGCCCAGUGACCACAAGUUCAACGGCCGCGGUAUUUUGACCGUGCAAAGGUAGCGCAAUCACUUGUCUUUUAAAUAGAGACCUGUAUGAAUGGCCAAACGAGGGCUUAACUGUCUCCCCUUUCAAGUCAGUGAAAUUGAUCUACCCGUGCAGAAGCGGGUAUAACAAUACAAGACGAGAAGACCCUUUGGAGCUUAAGGUACAAAACUCAACCACGUCAAGCAACUUAAUAAAAAGCAAAAACUUUGUGAAUACAUGAGAUUCUACCUUCGGUUGGGGCGACCACGGAGGAGAAAAAAGCCUCCAAGUGGACCGGGACAAACUCCUAAAACCAAGAGAGACAUCUCUAAGCCACAGAACAUCUGACCAAACAUGAUCCGGCCACCAGGACCGAUCAACGAACCAAGUUACCCUAGGGAUAACAGCGCAAUCCCCUCCCAGAGUCCAUAUCGACGAGGGGGUUUACGACCUCGAUGUUGGAUCAGGACAUCCUAAUGGUGCAGCCGCUAUUAAGGGUUCGUUUGUUCAACGAUUAAAGUCCUACGUGA